UGACAGCCCCGUACACAAAAGCGCAUGUGCUGUGAGCUCGAUGAGUAGGGCGGGACACGUGGUAUCCUGUCUGAAUAUGGGGGGACCAUCCUCCAAGGCUAAAUACUCCUGACUGACCGAUAGUGAACCAGUACCGUGAGGGAAAGGCGAAAAGAACCCCGGCGAGGGGAGUGAAAAAGAACCUGAAACCGUGUACGUACAAGCAGUGGGAGCACAGGUUUACCUGUGUGACUGCGUACCUUUUGUAUAAUGGGUCAGCGACUUAUAUUCUGUAGCAAGGUUAACCGAAUAGGGGAGCCGGAGGGAAACCGAGUCUUAAUUGGGCGUUAAGUUGCAGGGUAUAGACCCGAAACCCGGUGAUCUAGCCAUGGGCAGGUUGAAGGUUGGGUAACACUAACUGGAGGACCGAACCGACUAAUGUUGAAAAAUUAGCGGAUGACCUGUGGCUGGGGGUGAAAGGCCAAUCAAACCGGGAGAUAGCUGGUUCUCCCCGAAAGCUAUUUAGGUAGCGCCUCGUGAAUUCAUCUCCGGGGGUAGAGCACUGUUUCGGCUAGGGGGCCAUCCCGGCUUACCAACCCGAUGCAAACUGCGAAUACCGGAGAAUGUUAUCACGGGAGACACACGGCGGGUGCUAACGUCCGUCGUGAAGAGGGAAACAACCCAGACCGCCAGCUAAGGUCCCAAAGUCAUGGUUAAGUGGGAAACGAUGUGGGAAGGCCCAGACAGCCAGGAUGUUGGCUUAGAAGCAGCCAUCAUUUAAAGAAAGCGUAAUAGCUCACUGGUCGAGUCGGCCUGCGCGGAAGAUGUAACGGGGCUAAACCAUGCACCGAAGCUGCGGCAGCGACGCUGAUGCGUUGUUGGGUAGGGGAGCGUUCUGUAAGCCUGCGAAGGUGGCCUGUGAGGGUUGCUGGAGGUAUCAGAAGUGCGAAUGCUGACAUAAGUAACGAUAAAGCGGGUGAAAAGCCCGCUCGCCGGAAGACCAAGGGUUCCUGUCCAACGUUAAUCGGGGCAGGGUGAGUCGACCCCUAAGGCGAGGCCGAAAGGCGUAGUCGAUGGGAAACGGGUUAAUAUUCCCGUACUUGGUGUUACUGCGAAGGGGGGACGGAGAAGGCUAUGUUGGCCGGGCGACGGUUGUCCCGGUUUAAGCGUGUAGGUGUGUGUUCCAGGUAAAUCCGGUU
RNAcentral lists this ribosomal RNA (1178 nucleotides) under Salmonella enterica subsp. enterica. RNAcentral's name for it is "partial 23S ribosomal RNA". It matches the Rfam family "Bacterial large subunit ribosomal RNA", at positions 365 to 1547 of the family's 2925-position model. The record is from RNAcentral. Lineage: Bacteria; Pseudomonadati; Pseudomonadota; Gammaproteobacteria; Enterobacterales; Enterobacteriaceae.